GAUGCGGGGCAUUUCCUGGGGAUUAAUGGCUGUCUGGGGUCAUCAUCUCCUCCCGGUUAGUUAUUCGUCCCCAGGAAAUACCGUGCGCCUUGAUC
Molecule: microRNA precursor, 95 nt
Filed under: Pelodiscus sinensis (Chinese soft-shelled turtle)
Lineage: Eukaryota; Metazoa; Chordata; Testudines; Trionychidae
Description: miRNA (ENSPSIG00000019470.1)
Source: RNAcentral